Molecule: ribosomal RNA, 725 nt
Filed under: uncultured bacterium
Lineage: Bacteria
Description: bacterial SSU rRNA
Rfam family: Bacterial small subunit ribosomal RNA
Source: RNAcentral
CUACACAUGCAAGUCGAACGGUAACAGGAAGCAGCUUGCUGCUUCGCUGACGAGUGGCGGACGGGUGAGUAAUGUCUGGGAAACUGCCUGAUGGAGGGGGAUAACUACUGGAAACGGUAGCUAAUACCGCAUAACGUCGCAAGACCAAAGAGGGGGACCUUCGGGCCUCUUGCCAUCGGAUGUGCCCAGAUGGGAUUAGCUAGUAGGUGGGGUAACGGCUCACCUAGGCGACGAUCCCUAGCUGGUCUGAGAGGAUGACCAGCCACACUGGAACUGAGACACGGUCCAGACUCCUACGGGAGGCAGCAGUGGGGAAUAUUGCACAAUGGGCGCAAGCCUGAUGCAGCCAUGCCGCGUGUAUGAAGAAGGCCUUCGGGUUGUAAAGUACUUUCAGCGGGGAGGAAGGCGAUAAGGUUAAUAACCUUGUCGAUUGACGUUACCCGCAGAAGAAGCACCGGCUAACUCCGUGCCAGCAGCCGCGGUAAUACGGAGGGUGCAAGCGUUAAUCGGAAUUACUGGGCGUAAAGCGCACGCAGGCGGUCUGUCAAGUCGGAUGUGAAAUCCCCGGGCUCAACCUGGGAACUGCAUUCGAAACUGGCAGGCUAGAGUCUUGUAGAGGGGGGUAGAAUUCCAGGUGUAGCGGUGAAAUGCGUAGAGAUCUGGAGGAAUACCGGUGGCGAAGGCGGCCCCCUGGACAAAGACUGACGCUCAGGUGCGAAAGCGUG